RNAcentral lists this ribosomal RNA (414 nucleotides) under Brevundimonas diminuta. RNAcentral's name for it is "bacterial SSU rRNA". It matches the Rfam family "Bacterial small subunit ribosomal RNA", at positions 36 to 504 of the family's 1533-position model. Lineage: Bacteria; Pseudomonadati; Pseudomonadota; Alphaproteobacteria; Caulobacterales; Caulobacteraceae. The record is from RNAcentral.
AGCGAACCUGCGGCAGGCCUAACACAUGCAAGUCAACGGACCCUUCGGGUAGUGGCGGACGGGUGAGUAACACGUGGGAACGUCCUUUAGGUCGGAAUAGCUCCUGGAAACGGUGUAAUCCGAAUGUGCCCUUCGGGGGAAAGAUUUAUCGCCUGAGCGGCCCGCGUUGAUUAGCUAGUUGGUGAGGUAACGGCUCACCAAGGCGACGAUCGUAGCUGGUCUGAGAGGAUGACCAGCCACACUGGGACUGAGACACGGCCCAGACUCCUACGGGAGGCAGCAGUGGGGAAUCUUGCGCAAUGGGCGAAGCCUGACGCAGCCAUGCCGCGUGAAUGAUGAAGGUCCUAGGAUUGUAAAAUCUUUUCACCGGUGACGAUAAUGACGGUACCCGGAGAAGAAGCCCCGGCUAACUUC